AAAAACUCAAUUUCUGAGUUUCCGUGUCUAACGUUUGAUCGUCCGUCUUAUUUUAAAAAAAUAUUAAAAAAUUUAAAAAGAUAAGCCAUGCAUAAAAUAUUAUUCAUCUUUUAUCAUCUAGCAAUAAUGAAAAUACUAAUCAUAAAAAAAUUUCAUAUAAGACGGACGAUCAAACGUUGGAGACGGAAACCCAAGAAUUGAGUCUUU
Molecule: microRNA precursor, 207 nt
Organism: Oryza sativa Indica Group (long-grained rice)
Lineage: Eukaryota; Viridiplantae; Streptophyta; Magnoliopsida; Poales; Poaceae
Rfam family: MIR812 microRNA precursor family
Source: Rfam